AUUGAACGCUGGCGGCAGGCCUAACACAUGCGAGUCGAGCGGAUGAAGGGAGCUUGCUCCUGGAUUCAGCGGCGGACGGGUGAGUAAUGCCUAGGAAUCUGCCUGGUAGUGGGGGAUAACGUCCGGAAACGGGCGCUAAUACCGCAUACGUCCUGAGGGAGAAAGUGGGGGAUCUUCGGACCUCACGCUAUCAGAUGAGCCUAGGUCGGAUUAGCUAGUUGGUGGGGUAAAGGCCUACCAAGGCGACGAUCCGUAACUGGUCUGAGAGGAUGAUCAGUCACACUGGAACUGAGACACGGUCCAGACUCCUACGGGAGGCAGCAGUGGGGAAUAUUGGACAAUGGGCGAAAGCCUGAUCCAGCCAUGCCGCGUGUGUGAAGAAGGUCUUCGGAUUGUAAAGCACUUUUAGUUGGGAGGAAGGGCAGUAAGUUAAUACCUUGCUGUUUUGACGUUACCAACAGAAUAAGCAACGGCUAACUUCGUG
RNAcentral lists this ribosomal RNA (484 nucleotides) under uncultured bacterium. Its description in RNAcentral is "partial 16S ribosomal RNA". It matches the Rfam family "Bacterial small subunit ribosomal RNA", at positions 30 to 507 of the family's 1533-position model. The record is from RNAcentral.